UCCGGUUUGUCACCGGCGGUCUCCUUAGAGUUCCCACCAUUACGUGCUGGCAACUAAGGACAAGGGUUGCGCUCGUUGCGGGACUUAACCCAACAUCUCACGACACGAGCUGACGACAGCCAUGCAGCACCUGUGUUCGAGUUCCCGAAGGCACCAAUCCAUCUCUGGAAAGUUCUGUAGAUGUCAAGGCCAGGUAAGGUGGGGAUGACGUAUCCUUCCAUCACA
RNAcentral lists this unclassified non-coding RNA (225 nucleotides) under uncultured Lysobacteraceae bacterium. RNAcentral describes it as "uncultured Xanthomonadaceae bacterium contains 16S-23S intergenic spacer region". Lineage: Bacteria; Pseudomonadati; Pseudomonadota; Gammaproteobacteria; Lysobacterales; Lysobacteraceae. The record is from RNAcentral.